UACAAGCUAUGAAAAUUUUAUGACCAAAACCACAGAUCAAUUCAAUGGAUGACAUAAAAAACUAAUAAACAAAAUCUGCAGAAAAGUGAUGCAAAAACACAGAUCCAUUGCAUUGUAAAAAGAUCACUAUAACAAGACAUUGAAACCCUAAAUCCCUUCUAGCUUUGAUUUAUGAUUAAACUCAAUAAUAGGGGAAAAUUACAUAGCUAGAAAACUGUGUACGAAACGAUGAAAAAUAAAAAGUUUAAUAAAUUCAGAAUUUGUCGACAACAUCUGUGACUAAACCGCAGAUCAAAGAAAAUUUACAGCUAACGCUACAAACACUAGCUUCACUAAUUACCCUUACAACCUUCACUUCUUCCCUCUCUUAGCUGCUGCCUUCUUGGCUGGAGACUUCGCAGUCUUGGCCUUCGCCGCUGCUUUCACCGGAGUCUUCUUCACAGGUGCAGCCUUCUUCGCCGCCGGCUUGGGUGCAGCAGCUGCAGCCGCUGGUGAAGUCCUCGUCGAGGUCCUUGCAGCCUUGGCAGGCUUAGCAGCUGGCUUGGCUUUGGCAGCUGGCUUGGCUUUGGCAGCAGGUUUCGCCUUAGCAGCAGCUUUAGGCUUCGCGGCAGGCUUGGCCUUGGCUGCUGGCUUGGCUGCGGCAGUCUUAACCGGCUUGGCAGCGGGUUUAGCUUUGGCAGCAG
This 683-nucleotide long non-coding RNA is filed under the name Lathyrus oleraceus (garden pea). Its description in RNAcentral is "Pisum sativum (pea) long non-coding RNA (PSAT_LNC009406)". Lineage: Eukaryota; Viridiplantae; Streptophyta; Magnoliopsida; Fabales; Fabaceae. The record is from RNAcentral.